AUUGAACGCUGGCGGCAUGCUUUACACAUGCAAGUCGAACGGUAACAGGCCGCAAGGUGCUGACGAGUGGCGCACGGGUGAGUAAUGCAUCGGAACGUGCCCAGUCGUGGGGGAUAACUACUCGAAAGAGUAGCUAAUACCGCAUACGAUCUAUGGAUGAAAGCGGGGGACCGUAAGGCCUCGCGCGAUUGGAGCGGCCGAUGUCCGAUUAGGUAGUUGGUGGGGUAAAGGCUCACCAAGCCAACGAUCUGUAGCUGGUCUGAGAGGACGACCAGCCACACUGGGACUGAGACACGGCCCAGACUCCUACGGGAGGCAGCAGUGGGGAAUUUUGGACAAUGGGCGCAAGCCUGAUCCAGCAAUGCCGCGUGCAGGAAGAAGGCCUUCGGGUUGUAAACUGCUUUUGUACGGAACGAAACGGCUCUGGUUAAUACCCGGGGCUAAUGACGGUACCGGAAGAAUAAGCACCGGCUAACUACGUG
RNAcentral lists this ribosomal RNA (482 nucleotides) under uncultured bacterium. RNAcentral describes it as "partial 16S ribosomal RNA". It matches the Rfam family "Bacterial small subunit ribosomal RNA", at positions 30 to 507 of the family's 1533-position model. The record is from RNAcentral.